UACGGAGGGUGCGAGCGUUAAUCGGAAUUACUGGGCGUAAAGCGUGCGCAGGCGGUUAUAUAAGUCAGUUGUGAAAUCCCCGGGCUCAACCUGGGAAUUGCAUCUGUGACUGUAUAGCUAGAGUACGGUAGAGGGGGAUGGAAUUUCGCGUGUAGCAGUGAAAUGCGUAGAUAUGCGGAGGAACACCGGUGGCGAAGGCAAUCCCCUGGACCAGUACUGACGCUCAUGCACGAAAGCGUGGGGAGCAAACAGG
Molecule: ribosomal RNA, 253 nt
Filed under: uncultured bacterium
Lineage: Bacteria
Description: partial 16S ribosomal RNA
Rfam family: Bacterial small subunit ribosomal RNA
Source: RNAcentral